AUGUCUUCACCGCCGCCCAACCCGUCUCUUCCGCUGCCGGUCACCUCGUCGCCUCCGGCGACCACCACGACCGUCGCCCCGCUCCUGCCCGUGCCGGGAUCCUCCGUCGCGCCCGCCCCCGCCGUCCUCACCCCGGAGGAGGUGUCCGGAGCGCUGCGGGACCUAACCCAGGCAGUCCAGGAGAUCCGCCUGUUCUUGGCCGGGUCCUACGGGCCGCACCCAGCUGCGCCGCCGUGGCUGCCGCCGCACCAGGCGGCCUCCUCCGUGCUCGCCGGGUCGCACCCGGUUGCGCUGCCCAUCGCCGCCACCCUGCCGUCGUGGCUGUCGUGGCUGCCGCCGCACCAAGCGGCCUCCACCGCGCUCGCCGGGUCGCACCCGGCUGCGCCGCCCAUCGCCGCCACCGCGCCGCCGUGGCUGCCGUGGCAGCCGCCGCACAAGGCGGAGGCCGCGCUCGCCGGGCCGCUGCAGCUGCCAUCCACCGCCACCAACGCCCCGCCCUGGCUGCAGUGGCAACCGCCGCUCCUGGCGGCCUCCGCCACGACCGCUGCAGCUGCAGCAGCCACCGCCCAUCAGCUCCGGCCGCGCAUCGACCGCGCCGGCGGUUCUCUUCGGUUGGUAUAA
Molecule: ribosomal RNA, 621 nt
Filed under: Triticum aestivum (bread wheat)
Lineage: Eukaryota; Viridiplantae; Streptophyta; Magnoliopsida; Poales; Poaceae
Description: partial small subunit ribosomal RNA
Source: RNAcentral